Molecule: ribosomal RNA, 228 nt
Filed under: uncultured bacterium
Lineage: Bacteria
Description: partial 16S ribosomal RNA
Rfam family: Bacterial small subunit ribosomal RNA
Source: RNAcentral
UGAGUAACACGUAUCCAACCUGCCGUCUACUCUUGGCCAGCCUUCUGAAGGAAGAUUAAUCCAGGAUGGCAUCAUGAGUUCACAUGUCCGCAUGAUUAAGGGUAUUUUCCGGUAGACGAUGGGGAUGCGUUCCAUUAGAUAGUAGGCGGGGUAACGGCCCACCUAGUCAACGAUGGAUAGGGGUUCUGAGAGGAAGGUCCCCCACAUUGGAGCUGAGACACGGUCCAA